CCUGACUGUUUCUGUAGUUUGGUCCUCCAGCUCUGCCUCACUUUCUUCUGGCUGAAUAAACGGAAACCGCCUCCGGAUCCAGACUUGCUUCUUGACAACACAGCACAUAACGCGGAAGUCCACUGCUGACACAAGCGGUAUGCACAACGCAAAGCGGACUAAAGGCUUCGAGACCAACAAAUGUAGGACACCUAGUGAACACCACGGAGGAGCUUCACGGCCUGAAAUCCAUACAAUCCAUGUUUCAACGGUUUUGUAAAGGACAUAGGUACACUCCGUGUGAAUAACAAGGUUCCGGUGGCUGGCAGAAUUGGAGACACCAGAAGACCCAUUUGGUUUUAACCCCAAACAGACAGGCCAGUGAAUUUCUACAGAGCCUCACCUCGCAGAAACACAGAACCUCCUAAAACCUUAAAAACAUUCCUGAUGCAUGUGGAGAAGAGCUCAGCGUGAAGUGCAACAAAACCAGAGACGUGGUUGGCGAGUUAUGAAGAAGUCCUUCAAAUCAAAGCAGGUGUGAAACAUCCAACUGAUGCAUGAUCAGGAUGAAACUUACAGCUGCUCCAUGAAAGGUCAAAGGGCCAGAAUGGCAGCUAAUGAAUGUUUGCGUGAUAUCUAUUUCAAUUUAAAUCAACACAAUGCUGAGUAUUGCUUCUUUUUCCUUGUUUGGAAAAUCAGCUGGUUUAUAGGAUCUAUUUUAGCCAGACUAGUCGACUGUAGAGAGGACAGCACCACCGAAUUUUGUGCUAAUGUUCAUUAUUUCCUGCUUGGCUGCUAAAUACCAGGCAAGGGAGAAACCAGGAGCGGCUCUGACCGGCUUACAGGUCAAGUUUCCUCAUGUUUUACCUCUGAACACGUUUCAAUAACCAUCUCUGGAAACCAAAGCCUGAAGCUCUUUGGGAGUCGUAACAUAAAGAGCUCACAGGAAAAGACUUUUCUGUUCGCAACGACAACAAAUUAGGACCACUACGUAGAAAAAAAAAGUAAAUUUCUGACAAAAAACUCUGACGUUUUGAGAUCACAGAGAUUUUCUAGAGAAAACUGGAGAUUUGUGAGCUUGAAAAGUCAAACAAUUUGCUAGAAAAACAAUCUGAAUUUUUUUAGAUUAACCUAAAAUUUUCUAGACCAAAUAUUCAGAGCUUGAAAAGUAAAAAAAAAAAAAA
Long non-coding RNA from Xiphophorus couchianus (Monterrey platyfish), 1163 nucleotides. RefSeq lists it as uncharacterized. The record is from RefSeq and is a predicted model, not a curated record. NCBI's taxonomy places the organism in Eukaryota, Metazoa, Chordata, Actinopteri, Cyprinodontiformes, Poeciliidae. The transcript has 5 exons.